Molecule: ribosomal RNA, 535 nt
Rfam family: Bacterial large subunit ribosomal RNA
UCCAGCCUGCCCAGUGACAAAAUUUAACGGCCGCGGUACCCUGACCGUGCGAAGGUAGCAUAAUCACUUGUUCUUUAAAUAGGGACUAGUAUCAACGGCAUCACGAGGGUUACACUGUCUCCUUUCUCCAAUCAGUGAAACUGAUCUUCCCGUGAAGAAGCGGGAAUACACCCAUAAGACGAGAAGACCCCAUGGAGCUUUAAAUUUCACAGCAACUCAGUCACAUAAAUCCUUAUAAUUAACAGAGCUAUGCAUGCCAAUUUUAGGUUGGGGUGACCGCGGAGUAUAAGACAACCUCCACAUCGAAAAGAACUAAAUCUUUAUUUAAGAGCUACAACUCUAAAAAUUAGUAUACUAACGAAUAAUGAUCCGAUAAUCGAUCAACGGACCAAGUUACCCUGGGGAUAACAGCGCAAUCUACUUCAAGAGCCCAUAUCGACAAGUAGGCUUACGACCUCGAUGUUGGAUCAGGGUAUCCUAGUGGUGCAGCCGCUACUAAUGGUUCGUUUGUUCAACGAUUAAAACCCUACGUGAU